ACGAACGCUGGCGGCGUGCUUAACCCAUGCAAGUCGAACGGAAAGGCCCUGCUUUUGUGGGGUGCUCGAGUGGCGAACGGGUGAGUAACACGUGAGUAACCUGCCCUUGACUUUGGGAUAACUUCAGGAAACUGGGGCUAAUACCGGAUAGGAGCUCCUGCUGCAUGGUGGGGGUUGGAAAGUUUCGGCGGUUGGGGAUGGACUCGCGGCUUAUCAGCUUGUUGGUGGGGUAGUGGCUUACCAAGGCUUUGACGGGUAGCCGGCCUGAGAGGGUGACCGGCCACAUUGGGACUGAGAUACGGCCCAGACUCCUACGGGAGGCAGCAGUGGGGAAUAUUGCACAAUGGGCGGAAGCCUGAUGCAGCAACGCCGCGUGCGGGAUGACGGCCUUCGGGUUGUAAACCGCUUUCGCCUGUGACGAAGCGUGAGUGACGGUAAUGGGCAAAGAAGCACCGGCUAACUACGUG
Molecule: ribosomal RNA, 467 nt
Filed under: uncultured bacterium
Lineage: Bacteria
Description: partial 16S ribosomal RNA
Rfam family: Bacterial small subunit ribosomal RNA
Source: RNAcentral